AUUGAACGCUGGCGGCAGGCCUAACACAUGCAAGUCGAACGGUAACAGGAAGAAGCUUGCUUCUUUGCUGACGAGUGGCGGACGGGUGAGUAAUGUCUGGGAAACUGCCUGAUGGAGGGGGAUAACUACUGGAAACGGUAGCUAAUACCGCAUAACGUCGCAAGACCAAAGAGGGGGACCUUCGGGCCUCUUGCCAUCGGAUGUGCCCCGAUGGGAUUAGCUAGUAGGUGGGGUAACGGCUCACCUAGGCGACGAUCCCUAGCUGGUCUGAGAGUGUGACCAGCCACACUGGAACUGAGACACGGUGCAGACUCCUACGAGAGGCAGCAGUGGGGAAUAUUGCACAAUGGGCGCAAGCCUGAUGCAGCCAUGCCGCGUGUAUGAAGAAGGCCUUCGGGUUGUAAAGUACUUUCAGCGGGGAGGAAGGGAGUAAAGUUAAUACCUUUGCUCAUUGACGUUACCCGCAGAAGAAGCACCGGCUAACUCCGUGCCAGCCGCCGCGGUAA
RNAcentral lists this ribosomal RNA (506 nucleotides) under uncultured bacterium. RNAcentral's name for it is "partial 16S ribosomal RNA". It matches the Rfam family "Bacterial small subunit ribosomal RNA", at positions 30 to 523 of the family's 1533-position model. The record is from RNAcentral.